AGACUGUCAAUGAAAAAGAAUGAUCAACCGGCCCGGGAUAGCGAGUGGGUGGUGGUGCAAGACCCACCGGUGCGCUGGUUGAGUGACCCUUUGGAGACUGGGCGUUUGCCCCGCUGAGUAUUCGGCGUUACCCACGAGUUGAUACCAAGGUGGUACCGUGCAUUUUGCACCCUUGUC
Molecule: unclassified non-coding RNA, 177 nt
Filed under: Limosilactobacillus fermentum
Lineage: Bacteria; Bacillati; Bacillota; Bacilli; Lactobacillales; Lactobacillaceae
Description: Lactobacillus fermentum T-box
Source: RNAcentral